RNAcentral lists this non-coding RNA (84 nucleotides) under uncultured Cohnella sp. The record is from RNAcentral. Lineage: Bacteria; Bacillati; Bacillota; Bacilli; Caryophanales; Paenibacillaceae.
ACCGCGGCUGAGAAGCCGCGCUGAAUCCGCAGGAGUCAGCAGAAGCCAUAGUACGCAGGCUGUUGCAACAGCGUGCGGAAGGGC